Triticum aestivum (bread wheat) is the source of this 3231-nucleotide long non-coding RNA. RefSeq lists it as uncharacterized. The record is from RefSeq and is a predicted model, not a curated record. The transcript has 3 exons. NCBI's taxonomy places the organism in Eukaryota, Viridiplantae, Streptophyta, Magnoliopsida, Poales, Poaceae.
CAAAGAAUUACAGCCACCACACGACCUGUUCUCCCCCAAAUCGAAGCCUCCCUAGACCUCCUCCUCGACCGCCGCCGCCGCCGCCGCUGCCCCCUCUGCCAUUGACCUUGCCCUCCACCACCACCCCCUCGAUUGACCUGUGCGACCCCAUCAGGAUCUAUGGCGGCAGUGCUUGGAUCUCGGCGUCGCCUCCGUCGAGAUGCCUCUGAUGUGCGAGGUCGUCGUCGCCUCCCUCCCUUCGACACCACCACCAGAACUGGUCGACGAUGCCGGACGCCUCCAUCUCUUCUUUACGGUCCAUCACGCCGACGAGCAUCGGCGGACUCCCCACCAUGGCUUCCUCCCCGCCAACGGCGAGCGUGGUGUCCCAUCUCUACUAUGCUGGUACAGUACUUUCCUUAGAUCCAUCUUGGUUGAAACCCGAUGCAGGUGAGAUCUUCCUUACCAAGGUUGUUAAUCUUUUCUUCUUUGCUCGAUGAGAACUCAUGGUGGCAGAUUUCACCUUCCACCGAGUUACUACUGCUCGUCUUCCUUAUUGUAUUUUUCCUUUUCCUACCAAAUUGAUGCAGGUGCUAUUAGUGAAAGGAUUGGGGACUGGUUCUAGUAGUGGUUGGUUUGUUCGAGGAAUUCUUGGUGCUCGUGAUUUGUAAAGGGUUUCAGCCAGGUACAUGGAUCAGUCUUUAUUUAUUCAGGUUCAGACAUUGCGCAACUGAAGACUGUGUGUACUAGUCGAAGGCACGAGCUAUGAACGUGUUCUUCACUCACUCAUUCGUUUAUUUGAGCAACAUUUAUUGUCAGACGGGAGUAGUAUGUAUGUUGUUGAGUGUUAAAUCCCGUCCAAAGGAUUGGCAAGUUGCUGCUUGGAAACUUGGUAGAUACAAACGAUUAGUGCUCUGUACAAGCUAGUUGUUUACUGAGUAGAAGGAAGGUUACUCUACUGCUUGAAUGUACCAAUGAAGAUGCUCUUCACAACUCUAAUCCUUGGUGCCAAUGGGUAUUCUUCCAUUUACUAUGAUUAAGUGCUCUUUGUGCUAAUUCUGGAUGUUAUAAAAAAUGAACUUUGGCUAAUGAACACGUAGUUGGAAUGAACAAGUACCCUUGUUUAUCUCCAUUGAUCGAUUGAUGUGAGAUCAUUUAGUUCAUUCGUCAUCACACACAUAUACUUGUACAUGUAAGAAAAGCAAUCAGAUAGAGAAUCUCUUUCUGUCUCUUCUUUGUUUGCUACAAAUAUAGACUGAAAGUGGAGUAGUUCUUCUAGAGUUUAAAGAUUUGAACUUGCAAAAGUGUUAGUUCUCUGAUAUGAAGUUUAUUAUUUAUGUUUUGUGAAGGUUGUUGUCUGAAUGUGAUAUACCCAUAUAUUAUAUAAAGAACAAGUUCAGAUCGGUAUAAAAAAUUAUGCUUAAACUUUCAUGCCAUCUAAUAGAUAAUAGUCUAUGUAUACUUUUCAACGUCAUAAGCAUUGUAGUAACUACAUUGCCACAGGAAAUUAGAUAUUGUGAUCUAUCUUUCAUACCUAUAUACAUAUUAUGCUUGGACGUGUGUUGUUUGUGCGAAAGGAAACAUUUAGUAUUUUGUAAUGCUUGAACUGAAGGUAGUCUCUACUUAAAUAUUUCUCCAUUUAAUCAAGUAAGAACAGUUCUUCAGAACAUUUUAUCCUUUUAAUCUUCAGACAUCUUGACAGGAAGCACCAGGGAAUGUUUGCAGUUUCAAUUUAUAUUGUACGUAAAGGACUGUAGAUAUGUUCUCUGCCAGUCAAAACUUCUAAAUGAUCUAUGCACUAUGGCAGUGCCGCAGUGGAUACUUCUAAAUGACUGCACACAUGUUUUAUUAAGUCUUAUCAGUAUAUGGAGUUCAAUAAUCUUUUGGUGCUAAACAAGUGGAUGCUAUAACUGAAUACUAAAUCAGUAAAACACUGUAGGAGUUUUACAAGCAAGCUUUGGGUAAAAAGAUUUUUGUAUUGUGCUGUUUAUUCCCAUUGGUCGAUCGAUGUGAGAUCAUCUAGUUCAACUGUCAUCACGCACAUAUACAGUUACAUGGAAGAAAAAUAACUAGCUAGAGAACUUAUUUAUGCCUCCUUUUGUUUUGCUGCAAAGACAGACUGAAAGUGGAGUACUCUUCUAGAGUUUAAUUGUUAUAACAUGCUGCUUUUAUAAGGUUGCAAUCUUCAAUCUAGUUUUAGUCAAUAAGUUAUUGUUUCUUAAGAAUACAUAAAGAAUGGAUUCUUAUAUGUUCCAUGUAUUAUGUUAGGGCAAGUAAUUAUCAGCUGAGCAAAUGCUACAACGUGCUAGGAGGAGAAGUUCGAAUGGAGGCAGAGAGUACACUUGGAAAUAGAAUGGAAAAAGGAAGAGGAGAUAAUGUUGAAGCACACGAGCAAGAGGCUAGCAGAAGUUAAAGCAAUACACUAUAAGCAUUUUGAAUGAUUAGGGCCUUGUGUUGUUGGGAACAUUACAACCAUGGGGAAAGCUAAUUUUAGGAUUUUUUUUUGAAACUAUGAUGAUUUUUAUAGCAAAUUCGAAAACUAUACACCCUAAUGGAGAAAAAUCAAAAGUAUCACCCCGUCGGCCUCGUGUUGACCGAAAAGGGACUUUUCGGCCCCGUGUUGGCCGAAGAGGUACUUUUUGGCCAACCGUUGGCCAAAAAGUACUUUUCGGCCAACAGUUGGCCAAAGAGUCCCUCUUCAGCCAACAGUUGCUCUACUUUUUAAAAAAUUCAUAUCAAAUAGGAUUUUUAGUAUUUUAAUUUGAUUCUUUCUGCAUUAGAUUAGAAAAUUUUAUGAAGUUUCUGUAGAUAUCAAGUUUGACUAGAUUUGUAAGUUUGAAUUUGAAUUUUCAUGAAUUUUCUUAAAUCACUAGAUUGCCUAUAAUUUGAGGUAGGAGUAUUCUUUUUAGAUGAUUCUUUUUGCUACUGGUUCUUUGUGAAUUUGUUUAUCAGUAGUAAUUAAUUGGUGGCCGAAAAGUCCCUUUUCAGCCAACAGGAGGCCGACGGGAUGAUACUUUUGAUUUUUCUCCAUUAGGGUGUAUAGUUUCCGAAUUUGCUAUAAAAAUCAUCAUAGUUUCAAAAAAAAGUCUAAUUUUAGUUGCUAGUUUAGCAUAGAAGCUACUAUAUGCUCAUUUUGGUCGUGUGUCGCGUCCAAAAACAUAUGUAAUUUUCCUUAAAUGCACAACACCCUUAUAUAUAGGCGUUUCUAGAAACAUAUGUAUUUGGUAGUUAAUUUUAUUGAAUGAAGUUAAG